AUGCUCAAUGACAUCACGCCCCCCAGUUUGGGAACCACUGGUUCAGAGGAACCUUGGGAGAAACGUUUAGAGGAACUUCUCACCCUCCAUCACAAACACCAGCGAACCCACGUCUCCCUCUUUGAUGAUGCAGGCAUCCUUCCCGUAGUCCACUGGGUACAUGCAGUCCACGAUCUCCUGGAUCUGAGACAGCUCCAGGUUCUUCAUGAAGUCGUUAUCCAGGAUGGCCUCCUUUAUCAGCUCCUUGGACCUGAGGAGAACCAGGAACCAUUAGAACCACCAGUCUGUAGAUUCUGAGCUGCUUAAAUCCUGGAGAAAAGGAAGAAGCUGCUGCUGAUGAUGAUGAUGAUGAGGAGGAGGAGACGGAGGAGAGCCAGAGCUCCUCCGUCUGCAGCCUGAGUCGAUGUGAGCAGCAAAAAGUGUGAGAAACAAAGUUCUGAGGAGGAGGAGGAGGAAGACGGGAAGCUACGACGACACACGAGCAGCAGCGGAAAGAGACGAGUCAUCUUUAUCACCUCCUUCUCUGGCGCUCGUCAGUUUGAGCGCACCAGCAUCUCAUCUUCAGGCUCCUCAUCAUCAGUCACCAGCUACACACACACACACACGUCCUCUGUGAGCAUCCUCUCCAUCUUCAACGUCAUCAUAUUUACUUUCAUCUUCAUCAUACACUUAAUCAUCUUCAUCAUCAUCUUCAUCAAAGUCAGAUAACUUCAUUCAUCC
RNAcentral lists this long non-coding RNA (720 nucleotides) under Gouania willdenowi (blunt-snouted clingfish). Its description in RNAcentral is "lncRNA (ENSGWIG00000014500.1)". The record is from RNAcentral. Lineage: Eukaryota; Metazoa; Chordata; Actinopteri; Blenniiformes; Gobiesocidae.